UGCAUCGUUGGUGUGGCAGACUGCGUGUCUGCCCGUCUUGCGUGUGAAGGAUACGUGUUCCAUCCUCGAGAACGACGUGAGUCGCAUCAGACAGCAAGUCAGUAUUGCUCCGACAGCAUUGCGUGCCCGUGAGCGAUCAGCAGUCUGUCCCUACUCUCGUUCCCUCCCUCCCACCACCUCCACUCGUGCACACGCGCACAACGAUGGGUGCCCGUCACAGUGUACCGCUAACGCCGAGCGGCCAGCCAAGCGCGCAGGCGCUGGCACAGGCCAACGACAACGACGUGAACUCGUGGGGCACGCCGCCGGAUGAGGCCCCGGAGGAUGAGAAGGACCCGACAGAGCUGGUGCUGCAGAGCUGGGCCUUCUGCAAGGCGAAGCCGACGCCGCAGAAGAUGUACCGCAGCGACACGGACGAGCGCAAGCGGCGACAGUCGGUGAGCUGGCGCAAGCGCGCGAGCUUCAUCGAGCUUGACUGCGGCGAAGAUAGCUUCUUCGUAGCGAACAACUACAAGGUCAUCGGCGUUGCCGACGGUGUCGGCGGCUGGCGCUCUGAGGGCGUCGACCCCUCCUUGUUUGCCAACGCGUUGAUGGAGAACGCGAAGCUGUUUGCGGAGACGCACCGUGGCGAGCGCGACCCAGAGAAGAUCCUUGAUGCCGCCUACACCAAAGUAGUGAAGGACGGCAUUGUCAAGGUGGGCAGCAGCACGGCUUGUGUGGCAACUCUGCGCAAAGAGGAUGACGGCAGCCACAGGCUCGACGUGGCGAACCUCGGCGACAGCGGCGUGAUGGUGGUGCGCAACCGCGACAUGUACUUCCGCGUACACGAGAAGGUGCACGGCUUCAACGCGCCGUUCCAGCUGGCAGUGCUGCCGCGGUCGAUGGUAGGGCGCGCGUUCUCUGACCGCGUGCAGGACUGUGUUCGCGAGUCGGUGCCGGUGCAAGAGGGCGACGUUAUUGUGAUGGGCACCGACGGUCUCUUCGACAAUCGCUUCAACUCCGAGCUCGCCGCGGACGCCGGGUGGAUUGGCAAGGUGGAGGAGAGCCCCAUCGCCAAGAUCCCGCUUGUGGGCUUCUUCCUCAGUGGCAUCUUGGACGCGAAGAUCGAGUACGUGGACCCCUAUCGUGUCGCGCAGCGCAUCAUCACCGACGCCUACAAGACCUCCGUGAACCCGGAUACCAACUCGCCGUGGGCCUCGAUGCUGCGUAGGUUCGGGCAAACUGACGCCAAGGGCGGCAAGCCGGAUGACAUCACUGUUCUCCUGAGCCGCGUGAGUACACGCGAAGAACUGAACAACAACACGAGCUGGUAAAGCGGACCGACACAUGUGGACGUGGAUGUGCGCUCGUGUCGGCUCCCAAUGAUGGUGGCAGCGAUGUCGGCGUUGAUAGCGAACAAGGCCGGUCCCUACCUGCCUCUUGUUCUGUCUCGGUGCGCGCACCAUGAAGCGUGUGGAGGCCACCCAUAGGCGAGAGAGGCAGAGAAGGGAAGAGAGGAGGAGGCCAAUGACGGUCGUGAUGGUGAUGAGGCAAACAUGCAGCGCUGUCGGUGCGCUCACGAGGGGGGUGAGGCAUGAGUGAAUGUUGAGGGGCGUGCUCUCGGCGCCUUUCCGCAGAAGCACAGGCUCCCACGCAUACACAGGUACAAGGUGAGAGUAAGAGUGAGAGUGUGCGCUGCUGCGCAGCUACAUAAGGUGCCCACUACCCUAACAUGGGCACCUCGAAUUACAGGGCAGCAGGCAAAC
RNAcentral lists this unclassified non-coding RNA (1745 nucleotides) under Leishmania donovani. RNAcentral describes it as "gene:LdHU3.25.2610(CDS-product:Protein_phosphatas e_2C/Stage_II_sporulation_protein_E_(SpoIIE)_putative)". The record is from RNAcentral. Lineage: Eukaryota; Euglenozoa; Kinetoplastea; Trypanosomatida; Trypanosomatidae.